UAAAAUUUAUAUUCCUAAAACCGGAUCGAUACAGCGUUUUCCAUUUUCGUCUUCUACGUUAUUGUUGUUCACGAUCAUCUUCAACGAUACGUGCUCCGAAAUCCAGUCCACCGAACGAAAAACUAAGAACUGUCGGGUAUUCGAAGAUACAAAUCAAACUUGUUUUUAAAUAUUAUAACAAUGUACAAAGUCUGAACGUGCAGGUAGUUUCAUCAACAAGAACUUUCAUUUUAUCAAUAAAAUGGAAAACAAAAUGAAAUUUAAGAAUCCAAAAUAGAAAAAUGAUUAUGGUGCUCAUUACAAAUUUACAUUUAGUACCUGUACGCUGAGCGACAGACUACGUGAUACAUUAAUUGAAAAUUGCAAAAAAAGUUUUUCAAAAUUAUAUUGUGAAUCAAAGCCGAGAUACGCUUUAAUACGUUGCAAGUGAAAGAGGGUUGAAGGAGAACAUCCCUGCCGUUUACCAGAUAAAAUCCAUUAAAUGGUACGACUUUUUGUGGAAGUAAAAAUGUAAGUGUAACUUGGAGAAUAUAAUAUUUUAAAAACAUAAGUGGUGAGUAAUAUAUGUAUUAUAUUAAUAUGAUAGACCAAAUGCGAAAUGUAAUAAAAAAAAAAUAAUAUACCUAAAUUAGUAUUUUAAUAUAAAAUAAUAAAAUUAAGCUUCAAUAUAUUCAUAA
Molecule: long non-coding RNA, 677 nt
Organism: Aphis gossypii (cotton aphid)
Lineage: Eukaryota; Metazoa; Arthropoda; Insecta; Hemiptera; Aphididae
Exons: 5
Source: RefSeq, a predicted model, not a curated record